UAGGGAAUAUUAGUAAUGGGCGAAAGCCUGAACUAGCAACGCCGCGUGUGCGAAGAAGGCCUUCGGGUUGUAAAGCACUUUUUGAGAGGAUGAGGAAGAACGGUACUCUCAGAAUAAGUCUCGGCUAGCUACGUGCCAGCAGCCGCGGUAACACGUAGGAGGCGAACGUUAUCCGGAUUUACUGGGCGUAAAGCGCGUGUAGGUGGUUUGGUAAGUAGGGCGUGAAAGCUCCUGGCUCAACUGGGAGAGGCCGUUCUAAACUGCCGAACUAGAGGAUGGUAGAGGGAGGUGGAAUUCCGGGUGUAGCGGUGGAAUGCGCAGAUAUCCGGAGGAACACCAGUGGCGAAAGCGGCCUCCUGGACCAUUCCUGACACUCAGACGCGAAAGCUAGGGUAGCAAACGA
This 403-nucleotide ribosomal RNA is filed under the name uncultured bacterium. Its description in RNAcentral is "bacterial SSU rRNA". It matches the Rfam family "Bacterial small subunit ribosomal RNA", at positions 355 to 775 of the family's 1533-position model. The record is from RNAcentral.